CCUACGGGAGGCAGCAGUAGGGAAUCUUCCACAAUGGGCGAAAGCCUGAUGGAGUAACGCCGCGUGGGUGAAGAAGGUCUUCGGAUCGUAAAACCCUGUUGUUAGAGAAGAAAGUGCGUGAGAGUAACUGUUCACGUGUCGACGGUAUCUAACCAGAAAGCCACGGCUAACUACGUGCCAGCAGCCGCGGUAAUACGUAGGUGGCAAGCGUUAUCCGGAUUUAUUGGGCGUAAAGGGAACGCAGGCGGUCUUUUAAGUCUGAUGUGAAAGCCUUCGGCUUAACCGGAGUAGUGCAUUGGAAACUGGGAGACUUGAGUGCAGAAGAGGAGAGUAGAACUCCAUGUGUAGCGGUGAAAUGCGUAGAUAUAUGGAAGAACACCAGUGGCGAAAGCGGCUCUCUGGUCUGUAACUGACGCUGAGGUUCGAAAGCGUGGGUAGCAAACAGGAUUAGAUACCCUGGUAGUC
Molecule: ribosomal RNA, 465 nt
Filed under: uncultured bacterium
Lineage: Bacteria
Description: partial 16S ribosomal RNA
Rfam family: Bacterial small subunit ribosomal RNA
Source: RNAcentral